RNAcentral lists this ribosomal RNA (657 nucleotides) under Salmonella enterica. RNAcentral's name for it is "partial 23S ribosomal RNA". It matches the Rfam family "Bacterial large subunit ribosomal RNA", at positions 711 to 1280 of the family's 2925-position model. Lineage: Bacteria; Pseudomonadati; Pseudomonadota; Gammaproteobacteria; Enterobacterales; Enterobacteriaceae. The record is from RNAcentral.
AGACCCGAAACCCGGUGAUCUAGCCAUGGGCAGGUUGAAGGUUGGGUAACACUAACUGGAGGACCGAACCGACUAAUGUUGAAAAAUUAGCGGAUGACCUGUGGCUGGGGGUGAAAGGCCAAUCAAACCGGGAGAUAGCUGGUUCUCCCCGAAAGCUAUUUAGGUAGCGCCUCGUGAAUUCAUCUCCGGGGGUAGAGCACUGUUUCGGCUAGGGGGCCAUCCCGGCUUACCAACCCGAUGCAAACUGCGAAUACCGGAGAAUGUUAUCACGGGAGACACACGGCGGGUGCUAACGUCCGUCGUGAAGAGGGAAACAACCCAGACCGCCAGCUAAGGUCCCAAAGUCAUGGUUAAGUGGGAAACGAUGUGGGAAGGCCCAGACAGCCAGGAUGUUGGCUUAGAAGCAGCCAUCAUUUAAAGAAAGCGUAAUAGCUCACUGGUCGAGUCGGCCUGCGCGGAAGAUGUAACGGGGCUAAACCAUGCACCGAAGCUGCGGCAGCGAACGUAUCACCCAAGACAACUUUACGGAGUUGACGAUUGACGGAGCGAAGCGACGUCAAAGCGUUCAUUAAAGUCGAGUUGGCUUAGGGAUACGUUCGUUGGGUAGGGGAGCGUUCUGUAAGCCUGUGAAGGUGGCCUGUGAGGGUUGCUGGAGGU